AUACUUAUCUGGCAGAGGGGAUACUAUAAUCUUGAAAGUGGGUCUCCCAGAGCAAGGCAUAUUCUUUGCACUUUGGGAUUGUUGACCUCUAUGAUUUCCUCAAAUGUGGGAAACCACACUGUAGUAACUUGUGGUAGUAGGGGGCAGCAUGUGCGUUCUGCUUCCGU
Small nuclear RNA from Bison bison bison, 167 nucleotides. Its record names the gene U1. It matches the Rfam family "U1 spliceosomal RNA". Rfam says of the family: U1 is a small nuclear RNA (snRNA) component of the spliceosome (involved in pre-mRNA splicing). The record is from Ensembl. Lineage: Eukaryota; Metazoa; Chordata; Mammalia; Artiodactyla; Bovidae.